GACGAACGCUGGCGGCGUGCUUAACACAUGCAAGUCGAACGAUGAAGCCUAGCUUGCUAGGUGGAUUAGUGGCGAACGGGUGAGUAAUACGUGAGUGACCUACCUUUGACUCUGGGAUAAGCCUGGGAAACUGGGUCUAAUACCGGAUACGACCAAUCUCCGCAUGGGAUGUUGGUGGAAAGCGUUAUGGAGUGGUUUUAGAUGGGCUCACGGCCUAUCAGCUUGUUGGUGAGGUAAUGGCUUACCAAGGCGACGACGGGUAGCCGGCCUGAGAGGGUGACCGGCCACACUGGGACUGAGACACGGCCCAGACUCCUACGGGAGGCAGCAGUGGGGAAUAUUGCACAAUGGGCGCAAGCCUGAUGCAGCGACGCCGCGUGAGGGAUGACGGCCUUCGGGUUGUAAACCUCUGUUAGCAUCGAAGAAGCGAAAGUGACGGUAGGUGCAGAGAAAGCGCCGGCUAACUACGUG
RNAcentral lists this ribosomal RNA (471 nucleotides) under uncultured bacterium. Its description in RNAcentral is "partial 16S ribosomal RNA". It matches the Rfam family "Bacterial small subunit ribosomal RNA", at positions 28 to 507 of the family's 1533-position model. The record is from RNAcentral.